This 300-nucleotide ribosomal RNA is filed under the name uncultured Pyrodictium sp. RNAcentral describes it as "bacterial SSU rRNA". It matches the Rfam family "Bacterial small subunit ribosomal RNA", at positions 496 to 795 of the family's 1533-position model. Lineage: Archaea; Thermoproteati; Thermoproteota; Thermoprotei; Desulfurococcales; Pyrodictiaceae. The record is from RNAcentral.
GCUGACUCGUGGCCAGCGGCCGGGGGAAUGCAGAGGGGGCAAGCGUUGUUCGGAAUUAGUGGGCGUAAAGCGCGGGUAGGCGGCUUGUUAUGUCGGGUGUGAAAGCCCUCAGCUGAACUGAGGAAGUGCGCCCGAAACUGGCGAGCUUGAGUACCGGAGAGGAGAGCGGAACACCCGGUGUAGAGGUGAAAUUCGUAGAUAUCGGGUAGAACACCAGUGGCGAAGGCGGCUCUCUGGACGGAUACUGACGCUGAGACGCGAAAGCGUGGGGAGCAAACAGGAUUAGAUACCCCAGUAGUC